RNAcentral lists this ribosomal RNA (490 nucleotides) under uncultured bacterium. RNAcentral describes it as "partial 16S ribosomal RNA". It matches the Rfam family "Bacterial small subunit ribosomal RNA", at positions 28 to 507 of the family's 1533-position model. The record is from RNAcentral.
GAUGAACGCUAGCUACAGGCUUAACACAUGCAAGUCGAGGGGCAGCAUGGUCUUAGCUUGCUAAGGCCGAUGGCGACCGGCGCACGGGUGAGUAACACGUAUCCAACCUGCCGUCUACUCUUGGACAGCCUUCUGAAAGGAAGAUUAAUACAAGAUGGCAUCAUGAGUCCGCAUGUUCACAUGAUUAAAGGUAUUCCGGUAGACGAUGGGGGUGCGUUCCAUUAGAUAGUAGGCGGGGUAACGGCCCACCUAGUCUUCGAUGGAUAGGGGUUCUGAGAGGAAGGUCCCCCACAUUGGAACUGAGACACGGUCCAAACUCCUACGGGAGGCAGCAGUGAGGAAUAUUGGUCAAUGGGCGAGAGCCUGAACCAGCCAAGUAGCGUGAAGGAUGACUGCCCUAUGGGUUGUAAACUUCUUUUAUAAAGGAAUAAAGUCGGGUAUGGAUACCCGUUUGCAUGUACUUUAUGAAUAAGGAUCGGCUAACUCCGUG